Molecule: long non-coding RNA, 489 nt
Filed under: Dasypus novemcinctus (nine-banded armadillo)
Lineage: Eukaryota; Metazoa; Chordata; Mammalia; Cingulata; Dasypodidae
Description: lncRNA (ENSDNOG00000052726.1)
Source: RNAcentral
CGGGGCCUGCAGCUCGCUUUUCAUUAGCUUCGUGGUAAAUCCGUUUCUGGCCAUCUGAGGUUCAUACUAAGUGUGUCUUAAAUUGUCAUUUUCUAGGUCCAAGAGAAUUCAAAGAUACUUGUUGGAGCAGAGCUUGCUUAUCUGGCAAUCUCGUCUGGAGCCAUUAGUCAAGAAAUUUGUGUCAGCCUCCUGCUGUGUUGACUCUGGGAGCAAUGUGCUGAACAUCAACUCUCGGACUUCCCUCUUGCUCUUUAUGGGAAGCAUGACGCCCCUCUCCUUGAGAGCUUCCGGAACCGGGAAGAGCCGUGCUCUCGUGGGAAAGCACGGCCUUGGCCACGGGCGCCUCGGUCUAAGGUGUGUUUGUUCUGCUUGUGCUAAGUGUUGAAGUGUUUUGCCAACAUUUUUUAACUCCAUCCUGUCCGUGAAAGGGCUUACUAAUGUGUUUAGUUACAAACAAGAGAUGAUUUUUUAAGAAAUGGAAAACAGUGA